This 253-nucleotide ribosomal RNA is filed under the name uncultured bacterium. RNAcentral's name for it is "partial 16S ribosomal RNA". It matches the Rfam family "Bacterial small subunit ribosomal RNA", at positions 524 to 776 of the family's 1533-position model. The record is from RNAcentral.
UACGUAGGGGGCAAGCGUUGUCCGGAAUCAUUGGGCGUAAAGCGCGUGUAGGCGGUUCGGUAAGUCUGCUGUGAAAGUCCAGGGCUCAACCCUGGGAUGCCGGUGGAUACUGUCGGACUAGAGUACGGGAGAGGCGAGUGGAAUUCCCGGUGUAGCGGUGAAAUGCGCAGAUAUCGGGAGGAACACCAAUUGCGAAGGCAGCUCGCUGGGACGUUACUGACGCUGAGACGCGAAAGCGUGGGGAGCAAACAGG